This 834-nucleotide long non-coding RNA is filed under the name Homo sapiens (human). Its description in RNAcentral is "non-protein coding lnc-CST8-6:1". The record is from RNAcentral. Lineage: Eukaryota; Metazoa; Chordata; Mammalia; Primates; Hominidae.
GUGGAACAGAGGCUCUUCCCAGGGCUCUUUCUGCCUCUGGAUGUUGGUGUUGAUGAUGUGAUGUCUGGAGCUGUUGCAACCACCUUGCUACCAGCUUGAGGCUGAAGCUUCAAGAACAGGAAGCCCCCAUAUUGUAUGAGCCUCAGGCCCUGCAGCACCUGGUCUGCCUGUGAUCAUGAAGAGAGUCCACCUGCCCAAGGAAAGACUGUGCCGUCUCAUGCUUCCCAGGCCUCCGAUGCACUCAUCCCUCCUUCCAGAGUGAUUUCUCUAUGCUGGGUGAGGGGUUUCCAACCUCUGCAGUUUCCAUCUUUUACCUCUGAUCUGGUGCAUGAUUUUUUCUAAAGGAACUCUUAGAAGACACUUAACAUGACCUGAUCAGGAACCUUCUUUAGCUUCUUCCAAGGACACAGCUCAGUGCCCAGAAGAUGGACCUGUUCACUCUCAGCUUCCCCGCAUCCUGCUCUGUUCCAAGGGAGCAGACACACAGGGAAAAGUCGGGGGAGUCCUGUGCAGAACCCCGACGUCACACCAUCUUCCCCAAGGAAGAUAGAAUUGUGUCAGAAAGGGACUGUUUUUCAAAAAAUCAGCUGUUCAUUGUGUGCCUGGAUGGUGGUCCCUUUGGUCAAUAAACCCUUCAUCCACAUGGAAAAUUAUGAGCACUUCCGUGCAAGAAAGACUUUGCCCCCAACCACAACAUCUGUGCACCUGCUGCUCUGCCCUCAGCCGCUCUCUCCCAGUAGAAGCCUGAAUCACUAAGUGCACCCUCCACUGAGAGGAUGAGGCCCAGAUUUGACUCCCCCGCUCAUGGCUGCCUGGGCGCUGCUACACUUCCCA